RNAcentral lists this ribosomal RNA (163 nucleotides) under Drepanostachyum fractiflexum. RNAcentral describes it as "5.8S ribosomal RNA". It matches the Rfam family "5.8S ribosomal RNA". From Rfam's summary of the family: 5.8S ribosomal RNA (5.8S rRNA) is a component of the large subunit of the eukaryotic ribosome. It is transcribed by RNA polymerase I as part of the 45S precursor that also contains 18S and 28S rRNA. Lineage: Eukaryota; Viridiplantae; Streptophyta; Magnoliopsida; Poales; Poaceae. The record is from RNAcentral. RNAcentral also lists the same sequence under 4 other names.
ACACGACUCUCGGCAACGGAUAUCUCGGCUCUCGCAUCGAUGAAGAACGUAGCGAAAUGCGAUACCUGGUGUGAAUUGCAGAAUCCCGCGAACCAUCGAGUCUUUGAACGCAAGUUGCGCCCGAGGCCUUCGGGCCGAGGGCACGCCUGCCUGGGCGUCACGC